GUAAACUGGUGCUCCAGAACUGGGG
This 25-nucleotide non-coding RNA is filed under the name Cricetulus griseus (Chinese hamster). Lineage: Eukaryota; Metazoa; Chordata; Mammalia; Rodentia; Cricetidae. The record is from RNAcentral.